This 468-nucleotide ribosomal RNA is filed under the name uncultured bacterium. RNAcentral describes it as "partial 16S ribosomal RNA". It matches the Rfam family "Bacterial small subunit ribosomal RNA", at positions 28 to 507 of the family's 1533-position model. The record is from RNAcentral.
GACGAACGCUGGCGGCGUGCUUAACACAUGCAAGUCGAACGGAAAGGCCCUGCUUUUGUGGGGUGCUCGAGUGGCGAACGGGUGAGUAACACGUGAGUAACCUGCCCUUGACUUUGGGAUAACUUCAGGAAACUGGGGCUAAUACCGGAUAGGAGCUCCUGCUGCAUGGUGGGGGUUGGAAAGUUUCGGCGGUUGGGGAUGGACUCGCGGCUUAUCAGCUUGUUGGUGGGGUAGUGGCUUACCAAGGCUUUGACGGGUAGCCGGCCUGAGAGGGUGACCGGCCACAUUGGGACUGAGAUACGGCCCAGACUCCUACGGGAGGCAGCAGUGGGGAAUAUUGCACAAUGGGCGGAAGCCUGAUGCAGCAACGCCGCGUGCGGGAUGACGGCCUUCGGGUUGUAAACCGCUUUCGCUUGUGACGAAGCGUGAGUGACGGUAAUGGGUAAAGAAGCCCCGGCUAACUACGUG